RNAcentral lists this ribosomal RNA (587 nucleotides) under uncultured bacterium. RNAcentral's name for it is "partial 16S ribosomal RNA". It matches the Rfam family "Bacterial small subunit ribosomal RNA", at positions 355 to 938 of the family's 1533-position model. The record is from RNAcentral.
UGGGGAAUUUUGGACAAUGGGGGAAACCCUGAUCCAGCCAUCCCGCGUGUGCGAUGAAGGCCUUCGGGUUGUAAAGCACUUUUGGCAGGAAAGAAACGUCGCGGGUUAAUACCCCGCGAAACUGACGGUACCUGCAGAAUAAGCACCGGCUAACUACGUGCCAGCAGCCGCGGUAAUACGUAGGGUGCAAGCGUUAAUCGGAAUUACUGGGCGUAAAGCGUGCGCAGGCGGUUCGGAAAGAAAGAUGUGAAAUCCCAGAGCUUAACUUUGGAACUGCAUUUUUAACUACCGGGCUAGAGUGUGUCAGAGGGAGGUGGAAUUCCGCGUGUAGCAGUGAAAUGCGUAGAUAUGCGGAGGAACACCGAUGGCGAAGGCAGCCUCCUGGGAUAACACUGACGCUCAUGCACGAAAGCGUGGGGAGCAAACAGGAUUAGAUACCCUGGUAGUCCACGCCCUAAACGAUGUCAACUAGCUGUUGGGGGCCUUCGGGCCUUGGUAGCGCAGCUAACGCGCGAAGUUGACCGCCUGGGGAGUACGGUCGCAAGAUUAAAACUUAAAUGAAUUGACGGGGGUCAUAGCUGUUUCCU